UACGAAGGGGGCUAGCGUUGUUCGGAAUCACUGGGCGUAAAGCGCACGUAGGCGGAUCUUUAAGUCAGGGGUGAAAUCCCGAGGCUCAACCUCGGAACUGCCUUUGAUACUGGGGAUCGAGUCCGGGAGAGGUGAGUGGAACUGCGAGUGUAGAGGUGAAAUUCGUAGAUAUUCGCAAGAACACCAGUGGCGAAGGCGGCUCACUGGCCCGGAACUGACGCUGAGGUGCGAAAGCGUGGGGAGCAAACAGG
Molecule: ribosomal RNA, 251 nt
Filed under: uncultured bacterium
Lineage: Bacteria
Description: partial 16S ribosomal RNA
Rfam family: Bacterial small subunit ribosomal RNA
Source: RNAcentral